AGUGAACGCUGGCGGUAGGCCUAACACAUGCAAGUCGAACGGCAGCACAGUAAGAGCUUGCUCUUACGGGUGGCGAGUGGCGGACGGGUGAGGAAUACAUCGGAAUCUACUUUUUCGUGGGGGAUAACGUAGGGAAACUUACGCUAAUACCGCAUACGACCUACGGGUGAAAGCAGGGGAUCUUCGGACCUUGCGCGAUUGAAUGAGCCGAUGUCGGAUUAGCUAGUUGGCGGGGUAAAGGCCCACCAAGGCGACGAUCCGUAGCUGGUCUGAGAGGAUGAUCAGCCACACUGGAACUGAGACAAGGUCCAGACUCCUACGGGAGGCAGCAGUGGGGAAUAUUGGACAAUGGGCGCAAGACUGAUCCAGCCAUACCGCGUGGGUGAAGAAGGACUUCGGGUUGUAAAGCCCUUUUGUUGGGAAAGAAAAGCAGCAGGUUAAUACCCCGCUGUUCUGACGGUACCCAAAGAAUAAGCACCGGCUAACUUCGUG
This 492-nucleotide ribosomal RNA is filed under the name uncultured bacterium. Its description in RNAcentral is "partial 16S ribosomal RNA". It matches the Rfam family "Bacterial small subunit ribosomal RNA", at positions 29 to 507 of the family's 1533-position model. The record is from RNAcentral.